This 23-nucleotide non-coding RNA is filed under the name Cricetulus griseus (Chinese hamster). The record is from RNAcentral. Lineage: Eukaryota; Metazoa; Chordata; Mammalia; Rodentia; Cricetidae.
AACUAAUUAGACUUUGAGUGAUC